UUUGAUCCUGGCUCAGGAUGAACGCUAGCGGUGUGCUUAACACAUGCAAGUCGAACGAACAGCUCCAGAAACUUCGGUUACUGGAGUGGGUGAGUGGCGAACGGGUGAGUAACACGUAGAAACCUGCCCCGGAGAGGGGGAUAACGGCUGGAAACGGUCGCUAAUCCCGCAUAGUCUCGGUCUUCGGAUCGAGUAAAGCUCCGGCGCUCCGGGAGGGUUCUGCGGCCUAUCAGGUAGUUGGUGGGGUAAAGGCCUACCAAGCCGAUGACGGGUAGGGGGCGUGAGAGCGUGACCCCCCACACGGGAACUGAGACACGGUCCCGACGCCUACGGGCGGCAGCAGUGAGGAAUCUUGCGCAAUGGGGGAAACCCUGACGCAGCGACACCGCGUGCGGGAAGAAGGCCUUCGGGUCGUAAACCGCUUUUCUGGGGGACGAGAAAGGACGGUACCCCAGGAAUAAGUCCCGGCUAACUACGUGCCAGCAGCCGCGGUAAUAAGGG
This 501-nucleotide ribosomal RNA is filed under the name uncultured bacterium. RNAcentral's name for it is "bacterial SSU rRNA". It matches the Rfam family "Bacterial small subunit ribosomal RNA", at positions 12 to 532 of the family's 1533-position model. The record is from RNAcentral.